UGGGACACCAAUCGCGAGCUCUGGAGGCGAGCGGCCAAUCGGAGUGCCGCGAGAGGCAGUGGGCGGGAGGCGCCGCGUGACCGACAGGUCUCGGAGGCAGUGGGCUGCGGGCUGCCGGUGCUGGGCGGGCAAAUCGAGGCGACCCGAGAAGGCAGGAGGCCCAAUGAAGCGGGAGUUCCAGAACUACGGGGCGACUUCAGAACCGGAUUGACGACUCCGGAGAGUCAAGUGGACAGGAAGGAGGGGCCUGGCGAAAGGCCCCUUUGACCAGGCUGGGCGGGCGCCAGGUCGUGGACAGUGUCACCGAUGACAAACUGACCAGGCCACUGGGAUCCUCCAUGUUCCUGCCUGACUUCAACCAGAAACACCUGAGCAUCUGCAAGAGAAGGGGGUCAGCAGGACACUCACGGCGGGCCUGUGUCCACACCAGCCCCGGCACCCCUCUGUGGGACCCGCACCUCAUAGACGGCCAGGUCCGUGCAGGCGUAGGGGAUGAUGCCGAGCAUGUUGGGCAGGUAGCCGCGGUAUAGGGCACGGGUGCCCUCCUGCUUCAGGAUCUGCCUUGCACAGUCCAGCAGCCCCUUGUACUGGCCUGUCCGGCGCAAGGUCAGCCGUGUCUUCAGCACCUGGGGAGGGUGAAGAGGGAGGGGGUUCAUCCGAUGGAAAGCUCUCAUUGGCCCUCAGUGGCAGCCGGCGUUUCUGUCCUCCAGCUGAGGAAGCAGAAGCUGAGGAGUCCAGAGAGCGGACGUUCGAACCCAGAGCCACGUGAUCCCUUGGCUUGUGUGUGCCCUCCACCCAGGGUUCAGAAGCCCCAGUGCUGACAGAGGCAAGAGGAUAAGGGAAGUGGCGUGGACUGAGCGGAGUCACAGCCUAUACCUGGCGGACACAGAUGUAAUGCCAUGGGGGGUGCAGACCCUAGGUGUCCUGGUUUGCCCAUUUUCCAGGAGGAGCCGGACAUAAUCUGUAUGACAUACCCCCAACAUCAAAAUAGUAGCAGCUCUACAGUUGCCUAUAAGACCAAACGCCAAGUUUGAUAGGCAGAAUUCUGAGGUGGUCCCCGAGUUUUCCACCUGAUAUGUAUGCUUCAUAUAAUGCCCGCCCCCUGACCUUGAGUGUGCCCUAGGCCUGUGACUAUGGUGGGGUGUCACUCUCCUUGUCAAGUUACAUGACGAAGGUGAAGGGAUUGUGCAGAUGUAUUGGAGGUCCUGAAGCGCUUGAUUUUAAGUGAAGCAAGACCAAUUGUCCUAGGUGGGCCUGACCAAAUCAGGUGAUCCUUUUAAAUGAGUCUGUUGCCAGAGACAGAAGAAAUCAGAGUGAUGGGGAGCAUCCAGGACACCCUUCAGUUGGUCUUAAAUGAGCAGACUGAUGUGGAGAGGACCACCUGGCAGGGACAGUACAUGGCCUCUAGGAGCUGAGAACCUCAGUCCUACAACCAUAAGAAACCGAAUCCUGCCAGCAACCAAGGAACUUGGCAGAGGACCCAGGCCUCAGGUUCACUGUAGCCCAGCCAACACCUUGAUUUUGGCCUGAUGAAACCCUGAGCAGAGGACCUGACUAGCCAGUGCCCAGGCAUGACCCACAGACAAAGGAGAUAAUAAAUCUGUAUCAUUUUAA
This is a long non-coding RNA of Mustela erminea (ermine), 1614 nucleotides long. RefSeq lists it as uncharacterized. The record is from RefSeq and is a predicted model, not a curated record. The transcript is spliced from 2 exons. NCBI's taxonomy places the organism in Eukaryota, Metazoa, Chordata, Mammalia, Carnivora, Mustelidae.